CAUUUAGGUAAUCCAGUUAUUGCCAAAUGUGUCCACCUUUAUUGAAAAUUGCUCCUAAUUAAGGCCUCUGAGUUCCAGGUCAUCUGGGACAGCCCAGGACAAGGUGAUAAAGUAGACAUCAUUUACAUCAUUACCUCAAAUGCUCAAAACACAGAGCCAAGGAAUAAGGCUUGGUGAUAACUUACUAAGUUAUUGAGGACAUCGACAUAUCACCAUUUUAUGUUAGAAAUAUGUAACGGUCCAAUCUGGAAGUGAUUAUGAUUCAGCACCAAUAUCAAGCUCCGGACGCGCAGGCUCAGCGGCCAUGGCUCACGGGCCUAUACACUCCGCGGCAUGUGGGAUCUUCCCGGACCGGGGCACGAACCCGUGUCCUCUGCAUCGUCAGGCGGACUCUCAACCACUGUGCCACCAGGGAAGCCCGAGUUUGCUUUUUUUUAUAUUCCACAUAUGUCAUCAACAAGACUUCUCUGAGAUGUGUACUGAGAAGCAUACUGAAAUGCAGAGUUCAUAUCUAGAUGGGCACUGCUCGCCCCUUACCCCUCAACCCCAGUGGACCUCUUGUUCUCCUCACUUCAUCUCAGCACAUCCUC
This is a long non-coding RNA of Physeter macrocephalus (sperm whale), 590 nucleotides long. RefSeq lists it as uncharacterized. Lineage: Eukaryota; Metazoa; Chordata; Mammalia; Artiodactyla; Physeteridae. The transcript has 5 exons. The record is from RefSeq and is a predicted model, not a curated record.